This 178-nucleotide ribosomal RNA is filed under the name uncultured bacterium. Its description in RNAcentral is "partial 16S ribosomal RNA". It matches the Rfam family "Bacterial small subunit ribosomal RNA", at positions 1323 to 1500 of the family's 1533-position model. The record is from RNAcentral.
AAGCUGGAAUUGCUAGUAAUGGCAGGUCAGCAUACUGCCGUGAAUACGUUCCCGGGCCCUUGUACACACCGCCCGUCACACCAUGAGAGUUGGGAAUACCCGAAGCCUGUGAGCUAACUUAUAGAGGCAGCAGUCGAAGGUAGAAUCAAUGAUUGGGGUGAAGUCGUAACAAGGUACC